RNAcentral lists this ribosomal RNA (253 nucleotides) under uncultured bacterium. RNAcentral describes it as "partial 16S ribosomal RNA". It matches the Rfam family "Bacterial small subunit ribosomal RNA", at positions 524 to 776 of the family's 1533-position model. The record is from RNAcentral.
GACGUAGGAUGCAAGCGUUGUCCGGAUUUAUUGGGCGUAAAGAGUUCGUAGGUGGUUUGCUAAGUCUGAUGUUAAAUACUGGAGCUCAACUUCGGGACUGCAUUGGAUACUGGCAGACUUGAGUGUGGUAGAGGCAAUCGGAAUUCCAGGUGUAGCGGUGAAAUGCGUAGAUAUCUGGAAGAACACCGGUGGCGCAAGCGGAUUGCUGGGCCUGUACUGACGCUGAGGAGCGAAAGCGUGGGGAGCAAACAGG